ACUUGUACCAACAUUCCAGGCCCUAACAGCUAAGGGCUUCCUUCUUGUACUGGUAAUGGUAGCUUUCCCAUCAGUGGUAAUGACAGGUAACAGAAGCUGCUUGUGGAUGAAAGUGUGACUCGAGAAGCAGAGGGGGCUUGUUGAUUGAGAUGCUGCUACACAUGUUAAACCUCUCUCCAUUUACAGUGUCCGUAAUUGGUUUGAUUGAUGAGGGUCCUCGUAGAAAAUUUCCUUCCUCUUAUUAUCUCUUUCCUCGGCAAAUG
This 263-nucleotide unclassified non-coding RNA is filed under the name Hevea brasiliensis (rubber tree). Lineage: Eukaryota; Viridiplantae; Streptophyta; Magnoliopsida; Malpighiales; Euphorbiaceae. The record is from RNAcentral.